CCGUGUACGUACAAGCAGUGGGAGCACAGGUUUACCUGUGUGACUGCGUACCUUUUGUAUAAUGGGUCAGCGACUUAUAUUCUGUAGCAAGGUUAACCGUAUAGGGGAGCCGUAGGGAAACCGAGUCUUAACCGGGCGUUAAGUUGCAGGGUAUAGACCCGAAACCCGGUGAUCUAGCCAUGGGCAGGUUGAAGGUUGGGUAACACUAACUGGAGGACCGAACCGACUAAUGUUGAAAAAUUAGCGGAUGACCUGUGGCUGGGGGUGAAAGGCCAAUCAAACCGGGAGAUAGCUGGUUCUCCCCGAAAGCUAUUUAGGUAGCGCCUCGUGAAUUCAUCUCCGGGGGUAGAGCACUGUUUCGGCUAGGGGGCCAUCCCGGCUUACCAACCCGAUGCAAACUGCGAAUACCGGAGAAUGUUAUCACGGGAGACACACGGCGGGUGCUAACGUCCGUCGUGAAGAGGGAAACAACCCAGACCGCCAGCUAAGGUCCCAAAGUCAUGGUUAAGUGGGAAACGAUGUGGGAAGGCCCAGACAGCCAGGAUGUUGGCUUAGAAGCAGCCAUCAUUUAAAGAAAGCGUAAUAGCUCACUGGUCGAGUCGGCCUGCGCGGAAGAUGUAACGGGGCUAAACCAUGCACCGAAGCUGCGGCAGCGAACGUAUCACCCAAGACAACUUUACGGAGUUGACGAUUGACGGAGCGAAGCGACGUCAAAGCGUUCAUUAAAGUCGAGUUGGCUUAGGGAUACGUUCGUUGGGUAGGGGAGCGUUCUGUAAGCCUGUGAAGGUGUGUCGUGAGGCAUGCUGGAGGUAUCAGAAGUGCGAAUGCUGACAUAAGUAACGAUAAAGCGGGUGAAAAGCCCGCUCGCCGGAAGACCAAGGGUUCCUGUCCAACGUUAAUCGGGGCAGGGUGAGUCGACCCCUAAGGCGAGGCCGAAAGGCGUAGUCGAUGGGAAACGGGUUAAUAUUCCCGUACUUGGUGUUACUGCGAAGGGGGGACGGAGAAGGCUAUGUUGGCCGGGCGACGGUUGUCCCGGUUUAAGCGUGUAGGUGUGUGUUCCAGGUAAAUCCGGUUCACUUUAACACUGAGGCGUGACGACGAGGCACUACGGUGCUGAAGCAACAAAUGCCCUGCUUCCAGGAAAAGCCUCUAAGCAUCAGGUAACAC
This 1167-nucleotide ribosomal RNA is filed under the name Salmonella enterica subsp. enterica serovar Typhimurium. Its description in RNAcentral is "partial 23S ribosomal RNA". It matches the Rfam family "Bacterial large subunit ribosomal RNA", at positions 556 to 1637 of the family's 2925-position model. Lineage: Bacteria; Pseudomonadati; Pseudomonadota; Gammaproteobacteria; Enterobacterales; Enterobacteriaceae. The record is from RNAcentral.